RNAcentral lists this transfer RNA (73 nucleotides) under Streptomyces xiamenensis. Its description in RNAcentral is "tRNA-Ser". It matches the Rfam family "tRNA". From Rfam's summary of the family: Transfer RNA (tRNA) molecules are approximately 80 nucleotides in length. Their secondary structure includes four short double-helical elements and three loops (D, anti-codon, and T loops). Lineage: Bacteria; Bacillati; Actinomycetota; Actinomycetes; Kitasatosporales; Streptomycetaceae. RNAcentral also lists the same sequence under 2 other names. The record is from RNAcentral.
GCCCGGAUAAGCCAACGGAUGAACGGGCGCGCUUGAAACGCGCUGGGUGCCGGUUCAAAUCCGGCUCCGGGCA